This 346-nucleotide ribosomal RNA is filed under the name uncultured bacterium. RNAcentral's name for it is "partial 16S ribosomal RNA". It matches the Rfam family "Bacterial small subunit ribosomal RNA", at positions 338 to 682 of the family's 1533-position model. The record is from RNAcentral.
CCUACGGGGUGCAGCAGUGAGGAAUAUUGGUCAAUGGUCGGGAGACUGAACCAGCCAAGCCGCGUGAGGGAUGAAGGUACAGAGUAUCGUAAACCUCUUUUGUCAGGGAACAAAGGCGGGGACGCGUCCCCGGAGGAGGGUACCUGAAGAAAAAGCAUCGGCUAACCCCGUGCCAGCAGCCGCGGUAAUACGGAGGAGGCGAGCGUUCUCCGGAUUUCUUGGGUUCAAAGGGUGCGCAGGCGGUCUGUUAAGUCAGCGGUCAAAGCCCGGGGCUCAACCCCGGCCCGCCGUUGAAACUGGCAGUCUCGCGUUGGCGAGAAGUAUGCGGAAUGCGCGGUGUAGCGGU